Molecule: long non-coding RNA, 425 nt
Filed under: Olea europaea (common olive)
Lineage: Eukaryota; Viridiplantae; Streptophyta; Magnoliopsida; Lamiales; Oleaceae
Description: long non-coding RNA (OEUR_LNC003081)
Source: RNAcentral
GAGGAAGCUGGUGGCGGAGAGGUGGCCGGAGGAGCGGGGCUUGCAGGUGGUGGAGAAGUUGGUGUAGGAGGCGGCGGUGAUGUGACUGGAGCAGGUGGCGGCGACGUAGCAUUACUUGGUGGUGCUGGUGGUGAAGUAGGAGCCGGCGUGGCUCCCGGCGUUGGUGAAGACAUUUUCCGAGAAGACCCUGAUUCAAAAUCUACUAGAAAUUAUAUAUGAAGAUACCAAACGAUGAUGAAUAGCUGUCGUCGGAAAAAUUUUCUGCUGUAGUUUUGUUCCUCUCUCUAGAUUUUUUUAGAGGGAGAGAGAGAGAGAGUGAGUUAGUGAAUUAAGACGAUUCUUUGGGAAUAAACUAAUAAAGAGAAAAAGUUAAGGGGCCAAUAUUAUUAUGAUUAUUAUUAUUUUAAUUAAUGAAUUGUUUUGAG